Molecule: ribosomal RNA, 254 nt
Filed under: uncultured bacterium
Lineage: Bacteria
Description: partial 16S ribosomal RNA
Rfam family: Bacterial small subunit ribosomal RNA
Source: RNAcentral
UACGUAGGUGGCGAGCGUUGUCCGGAUUUACUGGGCGUAAAGAGCGCGCAGGCGGUCGUUCAAGUCGCGUGUGAAAGCCCCCGGCUCAACUGGGGAGGGUCGUGGCGAUACGGGCGGACUGGAGGCCAGUAGGGGGAUGCGGAAUUCCGGGUGUAGUGGUGGAAUGCGUAGAGAUCAGGAAGAACACCCGUGGCGAAGGCGGCCCACUGGGCCGGUACUGACGCUGAGGCACGAAGGCGUGGGGAGCGAACGGG